AGGUCUUCAGCUGCUGUCGUCUUCUUCUCCUGCACAGAGAACAACACGCAUUGAUCACACAAACUCAUCUAAGCGAGUAGGUGGAGCAGAAUCAGUCGACCAAUCAGCGUUUCGUAUGCCGACGUUGGCUGGCGUGUGACGUCAUCGUUCUGGACCACGAGGAGGAGAGCAGGUCGGUGGAGGAACAAUGGCGAACAGUCGAGUGAAAAUGGAGAUUAAAAUCAACGUUUUACGCCACCUUCUUUACCUGGGGUUGUUGUCGCUGUGAGAAACUUUGUUGCCGAAGAAGCGCGGAUGUUACAACGAGCCAGUUACAACACACGCCGAGCUUACCUGCAGGAGGAGGAGGUGAGGACAAUAAAUAACCAUCACCAAUAAACAAGAGGCCAGAAGAUCCAGGACAGGUAAUUUAACAACAGCAUCACAUCAAGUGAGAGAUACAGAGCAGAAUAAUU
This is a long non-coding RNA of Lates calcarifer (barramundi perch), 455 nucleotides long. RefSeq lists it as uncharacterized. The transcript is spliced from 3 exons. NCBI's taxonomy places the organism in Eukaryota, Metazoa, Chordata, Actinopteri, Centropomidae. The record is from RefSeq and is a predicted model, not a curated record.